This 503-nucleotide ribosomal RNA is filed under the name uncultured bacterium. RNAcentral describes it as "bacterial SSU rRNA". It matches the Rfam family "Bacterial small subunit ribosomal RNA", at positions 28 to 525 of the family's 1533-position model. The record is from RNAcentral.
GAUGAACGCUAGCGGCAGGCCUAAUACAUGCAAGUCGAGGGGCAGCAGGAAUAGCAAUAUUUGCUGGCGACCGGCGCACGGGUGCGUAACACGUAUACAAUCUGCCUUUAACAGGGGGAUAGCCCGGAGAAAUCCGGAUUAAUACCCCAUAACAAUUUGACUGGCAUCAGUUGAAUUUGAAAGCUCCGGCGGUUAAAGAUGAGUAUGCGUCUGAUUAGCUAGUAGGUGAGGUAACGGCUCACCUAGGCGACGAUCAGUAGGGGAUCUGAGAGGAUUAACCCCCCACACGGAUACUGAGACACGGAUCCGACUCCUACGGGAGGCAGCAGUAAGGAAUAUUGGACAAUGCCCGCAAGGGUGAUCCAGCCAUGCCGCGUGCAGGAAGACGGCCCUAUGGGUUGUAAACUGCUUUUACACCGGAGAAAACCUCCCCUCGUGAGGGGGAGCUGAUAGUAUGGUGAGAAUAAGCAUCGGCUAACUUCGUGCCAGCAGCCGCGGUAAUC